AUGGCUGUCGUCAGCUCGUGUCGUGAGAUGUUGGGUUAAGUCCCGCAACGAGCGCAACCCUUAUUCUAUGUUGCCAGCGGAUUAUGCCGGGGACUCGUAGAAGACUGCCGGGGUCAACUCGGAGGAAGGUGGGGACGACGUCAAGUCAUCAUGCCCCUUAUGUCCAGGGCUGCAAACACGCUACAAUGGCCGGUACAAAGGGCUGCUAACUCGCGAGAGCCAGCGAAUCCCGUAAAGCCGGUCUCGGUUCGGAUUGGAGGCUGCAACUCGCCUCCAUGAAGCUGGAGUUGCUAGUAAUCCCGGAUCAGCACGCCGGGGUGAAUACGUUCCCGGGCCUUGUACACACCGCCCGUCACACCACGAAAGUCGGCAACACCCGAAGCCGGUGGCCUAACCCGUAAGGGGAGGAGCCGUCGAAGGUGGGGUCGGUGAUUGGGGUGAAGUCGUAACAAGGUAGCCGUACCGGAAGGUGCGGCUGGAUCACCUCCUUUCUAAGGAGAACAGUUCAAUCGUUGGUAGGCAUUCGUCCUACCCGGUUCGAACCACUCCCAGUUGGUGCAUUGGUGGGUCAGUCGAAACGGCAGGUCAAUCGCAGGAUUCGUCCUCUUGGCACGCCGGCUCGACGAGCUCUGUCUUCUCUUCCGUUUUGAGGGAGUCGACCCAUUCGGGUUUGUCGACCCUCGGCGCACGGCAUGGAGCUCCCGCUCCCGCUGCCCACGGAGUGUCCCGUUCGAUGAAAUGUCGAACGCGCGGCCCCGUCCGCUGCCCUUUGAGAACUGCAGAGCAAGCACGAGCAUCUUUGUUCUUCCAAGCUACAAAGAGCCAACGGUGGAUGCCUUGGCGCCAAGAACCGAUGAAGGACGUGAGUGACUGCGAAAAGCUGCGGGUAGCCGUCUACUAGGCAUUGAUCCGCAGAUGUCCGAAUGGGGAAACCCGG
This 937-nucleotide small RNA is filed under the name uncultured Acidimicrobiaceae bacterium. RNAcentral describes it as "bacterial SSU rRNA". The stretch from base 1 to 491 matches the Rfam family "Bacterial small subunit ribosomal RNA", at positions 1045 to 1533 of the family's 1533-position model. The record is from RNAcentral. Lineage: Bacteria; Bacillati; Actinomycetota; Acidimicrobiia; Acidimicrobiales; Acidimicrobiaceae.